CUACGGGGUGCACCAGUGAGGAAUAUUGGUCAAUGGGCGCGAGCCUGAACCAGCCAUCCCGCGUGCAGGAUGACGGCCCUAUGGGUUGUAAACUGCUUUUCUAUGCCAAGAAACCUGAUUACGUGUAAUCAGUUGCCGGUAGCAUAGGAAUAAGCAUCGGCUAACUCCGUGCCAGCAGCCGCGGUAAUACGGAGGAUGCAAGCGUUAUCGGGAUUCAUUGGGUUUAAAGGGUGCGCAGGUGGGCUUGUAAGUCAGUGGUGAAAUGCUGCCGCUUAACGGUAGAACUGCCAUUGAUACUGCGAGUCUUGAGUAUGGUUGAGGUAGGCGGAAUGUGUUGUGUAGCGGUGAAAUGCAUAGAUAUGACACAGAACGCCAAUUGCGAAGGCAGCUUACUAAGCCAUUACUGACGCUGAGGCACGAAAGCGUGGGGAGCGAACAGGAUUAGAUACCCUGGUAGUC
Molecule: ribosomal RNA, 459 nt
Filed under: uncultured bacterium
Lineage: Bacteria
Description: partial 16S ribosomal RNA
Rfam family: Bacterial small subunit ribosomal RNA
Source: RNAcentral